RNAcentral lists this ribosomal RNA (206 nucleotides) under uncultured bacterium. RNAcentral's name for it is "partial 16S ribosomal RNA". It matches the Rfam family "Bacterial small subunit ribosomal RNA", at positions 568 to 774 of the family's 1533-position model. The record is from RNAcentral.
GGUGUAGGCGGCUAGGUAAGUGUUGUGUGAAAGCCCCCGGCUCAACCGGGGAACGGCAUGGCAAACUGCUUGGCUUGAGGUUGGUAGAGGUGCCUGGAACUCUAGGUGGAGCGGUGAAAUGCGUAGAUAUCUAGAGGAACGCCGGAGGCGAAAGCGGGCACUGGGCCAAUUCUGACGCUGAGACCCGAAAGCGUGGGGAGCAAACA